Molecule: non-coding RNA, 917 nt
Organism: Prunus mume (Japanese apricot)
Lineage: Eukaryota; Viridiplantae; Streptophyta; Magnoliopsida; Rosales; Rosaceae
Source: RefSeq, a predicted model, not a curated record
AAAUUUCAAUUCACCACUAGCAUAUAUAAUGUAAUAAUACAACGCAAGUUAAGAAAAAAACAGGAAGAUCACGUGGCGAGUCACGUGGCUGGGUUCAUCGCGCACAGAAAAGGCAGGCGCUCACCACACGCCCUCCUCUGCCUCGUUUUCUUCCGCCACACUCUCCGUCUUCCUCCCCUCCUCCCAACCAAAUCCUUUGUUAUUUUUCUUCGAAAUCUAUUGAAUUUCUCUUAAUCCAAGACCCCAUUUGUCCUGCCCAGCAUUUCCAACUGCAGGUGAGGAUAUAAGGCCCUAUUCAGUUCUUAGAGACGGUUAUCGGAUCAUGGGUUCACAGGAUCCUGUUCCGGCGGCUGACAAGGCCAAUGUAACGGAGGCCUCAGUGCGCGGGGCUUGUUCUCGAAAAAAGAUUCAGGGGAAAAUACCUAAGAGAAUCCACAAGGCUGAGAGGGAGAAACAGAAGCGUGAGCAUUUUAACGAGCUUUUCCUUGAGCUGGCCGAUGCUCUUGGAUACAAGGCCCUAUUCAGUUCAUAGAGACUAUUAUCGGAUGAUGGGUUCACAGGAUCCUGUUCUGGCGGCUGGCAAGGCUAAUGUAACGGAGGGCUCAGUGCGCGGAUGACCCAUGCAUGAGAAGAAUGAGAUCAGAGAGGAGGAUAAUUCUGCUGACAGAGUCUCCUGCAGACGAUCACCAAUGGCUUACUUGUUGGAUUUAAUUUGCUCUGAUUACGCUGUUUGAACUGAUAACCAUUGCCAAAGCCAUUGAGUGGUAAUUCUUUUUCUCUUUCAAAAUGUAGUUCCUAUGUUUUAUAUAUGGGUUUGCAUUUAAUGUGAUUUUUCGAAAGGUAUAUUGGUUGUAUAAAACUGAUUCAUAAAAUUUUAGCGUGAAUUUUUCAUUUUGCUGUUGUAGUUAACUUUGUAA